Molecule: ribosomal RNA, 442 nt
Filed under: uncultured Rickettsiales bacterium
Lineage: Bacteria; Pseudomonadati; Pseudomonadota; Alphaproteobacteria; Rickettsiales
Description: bacterial SSU rRNA
Rfam family: Bacterial small subunit ribosomal RNA
Source: RNAcentral
ACCUACGGGGGGCAGCAGUGGGGAAUAUUGGACAAUGGGGGAAACCCUGAUCCAGCAAUGCCGCGUGAAUGAAGAAGGCCUUAGGGUUGUAAAAUUCUUUUGUUCGUGAAGAUAAUGACGGUAGCGGACGAAUAAGCCCUGGCUAACUCUGUGCCAGCAGCCGCGGUAAUACAGAGAGGGCAAGCGUUGUCCGGAAUGACUGGGCGUAAAGCGCGAGCAGGCGGUUGUUUAAGUUGGAUGUGAAAUCCCCGGGCUCAACCUGGGAACUGCAUUCGAUACUGGAAAACUAGAGGCCGAGAGAGGAAAGCGGAAUGACGAGUGUAGAGGUGAAAUUCGUAGAUAUUCGUCGGAACACCAGAGGCGAAGGCGGCUUUCUGGCUCGGACCUGACGCUCAGGCGCGAAAGCGUGGGGAGCAAACAGGAUUAGAUACCCCGGUAGUCG